CUUUGUUAAUGUCUCAUUUUUCCACAUUGAUUUUCAAAGCCACCUUUUCCAGUCUGCCACGGGGUUCUCCCCAGCUAGGCUGGCCUCUCAGAUGACUCCGAGGUCUUAUUGUAGCGGGCUAGAGGAGGAGGUACAUCCUGGUACUCUGGGCUGGUUUCAGUUAAGAUGGCUGACAUGCUGACUCUCAUGCACACGGACCUACACCCGCAUGCACUACAUAGAAAACCCUCUAAGACCUUCUUGUUACUUCAUUAGUACGGCCAUUACUAUUACUCUUUCACGCACAUCCCCCUGUUCUUCCUCACGAUAGAGCACCCACACACACACAGUUCCAGCCUCAUGCUGGGUGUUGUCAUGAGCUGUGUUCGAAUACUAACAGUACUAUUUGUGAUGUGAAUUGAGUAUUUACUAUGCUUAUUCGUCAUGGUAUGGAUAUAGUUAGUACACCAAAAGUUCCCGGUUGUCGUACUAAAAUCGGCAGUAUACACGCAGAGGACACUAUUUCCGUACUUUAGGGCCAUAGUGCAAUUCUUCAGGAAAUGAGCAUGGCUUCACAUCGUUUCGAGAUUUGAAGAAAGUGGCGGAAAAUAUGCAGUCGAACCAACCGAAGAGCUGGUCAUGCAGUAACGAACAUCCUGGCCAAAGAGUUGAUGAAGGAGGACACCCCGCCCUCCUUCAGCAAACCGCUCAAUAAGAAGACCAAGGCAGAACAGAAGGAGGAGCCUAGCAUAGAGGGGGCGGGGUCACUAGAUGAUCUCUUAGAGGAAAGCCUAUCACGGUCCAGUUAAAAAAAACGGGUAGAAGUUACCCCUUAGCCACAGAUCUUGGAUCAGCCUACCAUACCCAUAUCCUAACCUUAACCAUGGGGGCAGGGAUACAGAAACUGAUCUUAGAUCAGUGUCUAGCAGCAACUUCCUCCUACUCUCCUUCGUAGGACCACGGGAUUGGACAGACUGGGUCUGAAGGGGCCAAUGGAUGAGUGCGGGGCUCUCACCUUAACCACACUCCCAGGGUUUCGCAGGCUGGCUUGCUAUUAGUCGCUUCCACGCUGAGGGAGGACUCUUGCUCUGCCGUAUAAACGUACAGUAUCAAUGGUCAAGCGUCAGCAUCUGCACACAUCCACUGCACUCUGUCUAUCGCUCAUUCAGUCUCUUUCUCUAUCAAUUUCUCUCACACACACUGUCACUAUCUAUCCAUCUACUUUCCUCUCUCUCUGAAGUACGUCUUGAGACAGUCCCACAGACACUUUAUCAGAAGGGAUCCUAUUUUUUAUCAUUUUUUUCUCCAGAGGGAUAGGAUGGAUUUCCCAAUCUGGAUGGUUGGACUGUCCUACCUAUGUGGAAGCCCUGAUGUUUUAUAGAACAUGUUUAGCUUUUUCCCAGGUUUGGUUUCAAACCUGUUAAAUGUUGCUCUGUAAUUGUCAAAUAUGCUGUAUGUUUAUAAAAGAAACAAGUGCCAACCAAUACAACUUGAAGUUGCACAUGUCAGCCCUCGUGUUGUCCAAUAGGAGUUUGUGUUGGGUUAGGGUGGACCAAGGGAUAGGUCUAAGUGUGUGUGUGCGCACGUGUUCCACAGUCCUCAUCUCAUUUCCCCGGUUCUUUAUGUUCUCUCUGAUUCACAGGGAGGAGUCACUAUGUCGGUGAUAAACAGACUAUAGGGCCUUAUUGGCCAUUCUCAAAGGACGUCUCCACAAGCAGGAAAUUGUGUGUGUGUCCAGAGCUACGUGUGUGUGUGUGUGUGUGUGGUUGUUUGUGCAUUCAUGUUGUGUGCGUGCGUGUGCGAGUUUGUGCUUGGGUAUGCUCUGCCAUCUGUAAUUACUGUAUGGUCCUGCCUCUGCCUGCCUGUCUGCCGUCAUCAUAAAUGCUAUAUUUCCUAAACAGCGCUGUGGUCUUUCUGCUGAAGUUACAGCACACUGGAGACCUGCCCCCCAAAAAAUGCUGAGACGAGUGUGUGUCCCCGAGUGUGUGUCGCCGUGCGUGUGUGUGUGCGCGCUUGCCCCUUUAGACUGCAACACCCGUUGCUGAAUGUCUGGCCUUUCCGGUUUUGUAUUUGUAUUCAACAUCAGCAAAUGUUGCCGCCACAACGUUCGUGUAAUCCAAGGAGAAUGAUAAGCAGUUCUGCCAGUUAACCCAUGCUUUACCAAUCCCUAUGCAAACAUGACAUAUCCCUACUGCUGAUCUCAAGUCAGUCACAAACGGUUAGAGCAUCUGCUUGAACAACUGUGGUUUCCCGUAAGCGCUGAUCAGAGAUCGGUUUGUACAGGUCUCUGGAAUCGAGCCAAGCACAAGCUUGUUGGGCUUUUACCAGCACAACAUAUUGUUAUUAUCAAAGAGCUGAGAGAUCGUUUCAUGAUAAUAAUCAUUGCUUCCUGCAGUAUAUUUCAAAGGUAUAAAAAUGACAAAUGUUACCGCAACGUCUGUGUGACUUAGCAACUUCAGUCAAGGGGCGACGAGGAAACAUUCAGCCCUUAGAUUGUAGUUGUUUGCCAGAAACAGAAGUAUGACGUGUCGACCGUAAGACAACGUUCCUUGUGUGGAUGAGUCAUUUCAGGUGAUCCUGUCCCUAUUAUUUAAGUGGUCUUUUAAAGGACGUUGAGGAAAGGUUGAAAAAACAUCACUGGAAAAUAAUCCAAUUUUCUGGCCUGAUUUUAUAAUUUUCUAGAUUUUUUCAUUUUUUCAUUUUUUUUCUUUUUAUAAGAGCUUGUUUUCUAUGUGAAUUUUUACUCUUGUUUUAAUGGACGUUAAAAGUAGAGGUUCAAGUUGAUUUCCGGAGAUAUCACUGUGGUAAUAUGUAUUAGAUUAUGUAAUUCGUUUGUGCUGUCCGCUACCAUUAAAAUGACUUCAAUAACAAUGUGUCUGAGGAUUCUUUUGUACAACAGAAUCUGUUCACUAUGACGUCAAAUACAGAC
Molecule: long non-coding RNA, 2908 nt
Filed under: Salmo salar (Atlantic salmon)
Lineage: Eukaryota; Metazoa; Chordata; Actinopteri; Salmoniformes; Salmonidae
Description: lncRNA (ENSSSAG00000108260.1)
Source: RNAcentral